This 94-nucleotide signal recognition particle RNA is filed under the name Acanthopleuribacter pedis. RNAcentral's name for it is "signal recognition particle sRNA small type". It matches the Rfam family "Bacterial small signal recognition particle RNA". Rfam says of the family: The signal recognition particle (SRP) is a universally conserved ribonucleoprotein involved in the co-translational targeting of proteins to membranes. Archaeal SRP consists of a 7S RNA and homologues of the eukaryotic SRP19 and SRP54 proteins. The record is from RNAcentral. Lineage: Bacteria; Pseudomonadati; Acidobacteriota; Holophagae; Acanthopleuribacterales; Acanthopleuribacteraceae.
AAUCGGGCAUCGGUGGCGGGUGUUUACGAACCGUGUCAGGCCUUGACGGGAGCAGCACUAAGUAUGACUUCCCGGGCACCGGUGUCUGAUUGUU